UGGUUUGAGAGAUUGAAGCUGCCAGCAUGAUCUGGUAAUUAACCAAACACAUCUAUGAUCUAUAUUCUUAUGCCUAGUAUAUAUAUAUCACACUAGCUAUUAGGAACUAAUAGUAAUGAAUUAGAGGAAAAUGCCUUCUAUUGAUUUAAGAUCGGUGGUAGUGUCAAUGGUAAAAAAACAAAUGGAAUUCUCUAAGAACAAGUAUUGACUUUGUUUGGCUUGGUUUUGUAAGAUUUCUUAAUCUAAAGUGGUUUUUGAGCCAAGAAAAAAACUUGUUGUCCUUUAAGGAUACUAGUUAGGGCAAUUAGUUAUAAAAGAUAUGGUUCCAUCAGGUCAUGUUGCAGCUUCAAUCACUCAGUCA
Molecule: non-coding RNA, 361 nt
Organism: Lupinus albus (white lupine)
Lineage: Eukaryota; Viridiplantae; Streptophyta; Magnoliopsida; Fabales; Fabaceae
Source: the annotation of a GenBank genome assembly